GACGAACGCUGGCGGCGUGCUUAACACAUGCAAGUCGAACGGAAAGGCCCUGCUUUUUUGGGGUGCUCGAGUGGCGAACGGUUGAGUAACACGUGAGUAACCUGCCCUUGACUUUGGGAUAACUUCAGGAAACUGGGGCUAAUACCGGAUAGGAGCUCCUGCUGCAUGGUGGGGGUUGGAAAGUUUCGGCGGUUGGGGAUGGACUCGCGGCUUAUCAGCUUGUUGGUGGGGUAGUGGCUUACCAAGGCUUUGACGGGUAGCCGGCCUGAGAGGGUGACCGGCCACAUUGGGACUGAGAUACGGCCCAGACUCCUACGGGAGGCAGCAGUGGGGAAUAUUGCACAAUGGGCGGAAGCCUGAUGCAGCAACGCCGCGUGCGGGAUGACGGCCUUCGGGUUGUAAACCGCUUUCGCCUGUGACGAAGCGUGAGUGACGGUAAUGGGUAAAGAAGAACCGGCUAACUACGUG
Molecule: ribosomal RNA, 468 nt
Filed under: uncultured bacterium
Lineage: Bacteria
Description: partial 16S ribosomal RNA
Rfam family: Bacterial small subunit ribosomal RNA
Source: RNAcentral